This 116-nucleotide microRNA precursor is filed under the name Heliconius melpomene (postman butterfly). RNAcentral's name for it is "let-7 stem-loop (hme-let-7)". Its record names the gene hme-let-7. The stretch from base 20 to 96 matches the Rfam family "let-7 microRNA precursor family". From Rfam's summary of the family: This family represents the microRNAs (miRNA) let-7 and mir-98. let-7 was identified from a study of developmental timing in C. elegans, and was later shown to be part of a much larger class of non-coding RNAs termed miRNAs. The extents of the hairpin precursors are not generally known and are estimated based on hairpin prediction. The record is from miRBase by way of RNAcentral. Lineage: Eukaryota; Metazoa; Arthropoda; Insecta; Lepidoptera; Nymphalidae.
CAGCGGGGCCACGUCGCCGGCGGGGUGAGGUAGUAGGUUGUAUAGUACUGUAUUACAACACUUGGGAGAGACUGUAUAGCCUGCUAACUUUCCCGGCCGACGACAGAGCGACGUUG